GACGAACCGAGCGAACGUUGUUCGGAAUCACUGGGCUUAAAGGGCGCGUAGGCGGGUGCUCAAGUCCGUGGUGAAAUCCUCCGGCUCAACCGGAGAACUGCCUCGGAUACUGGGCGCCUCGAGGGUGGUAGGGGUAUGCGGAACUAUCGGUGGAGCGGUGAAAUGCGUUGAUAUCGAUAGGAACUCCGGUGGCGAAGGCGGCAUACUGGACCACCUCUGACGCUGAGGCGCGAAAGCCAGGGGAGCAAACGGG
This 253-nucleotide ribosomal RNA is filed under the name uncultured bacterium. Its description in RNAcentral is "partial 16S ribosomal RNA". It matches the Rfam family "Bacterial small subunit ribosomal RNA", at positions 524 to 776 of the family's 1533-position model. The record is from RNAcentral.